This 446-nucleotide ribosomal RNA is filed under the name uncultured bacterium. RNAcentral's name for it is "partial 16S ribosomal RNA". It matches the Rfam family "Bacterial small subunit ribosomal RNA", at positions 338 to 795 of the family's 1533-position model. The record is from RNAcentral.
CCUACGGGAGGCAGCAGUAGGGAAUGUUCGGCAAUGGGGGGAACCCUGACCGAGCAACGCCGCGUGAACGAAGAAGUUAUUCGUAAUGUAAAGUUCUUUUAACAGGGAAGAAAGAGAAAUUUGACGGUACCUGAAGAAUAAGCUCCGGCUAACUACGUGCCAGCAGCCGCGGUAAUACGUAGGGAGCGAGCGUUAUCCGGAAUUAUUGGGCGAAAAGGGUGCGUAGAUGGCAUAGUAAGUCUUUUGUAAAAAUGCUGGGCUCAACCCAGUAGGGCAAAAGAUACUGCAAAGCUAGAGUAUGACAGAGGCAAGUGGAACUACAUGUGUAGCGGUCAAAUGCGUAAAUAUAUGUAAGAACACCAGUGGCGAAGGCGGCUUGCUGGGUCGAUACUGACAUUGAGGCACGAAAGCGUGGGGAGCAAACAGGAUUAGAUACCCUAGUAGUC